UGGUGGGUAGUUUGACUGGGGCGGUCUCCUCCUAAAGAGUAACGGAGGAGCACGAAGGUCAGCUAAUCCUGGUCGGACAUCAGGAGGUUAGUGCAAUGGCAUAAGCUGGCUUGACUGCGAGCGUGACGGCGCGAGCAGGUGCGAAAGCAGGUCAUAGUGAUCCGGUGGUUCUGAAUGGAAGGGCCAUCGCUCAACGGAUAAAAGGUACUCCGGGGAUAACAGGCUGAUACCGCCCAAGAGUUCAUAUCGACGGCGGUGUUUGGCACCUCGAUGUCGGCUCAUCACAUCCUGGGGCUGAAGUAGGUCCCAAGGGUAUGGCUGUUCGCCAUUUAAAGUGGUACGCGAGCUGGGUUUAGAACGUCGUGAGACAGUUCGGUCCCUAUCUGCCGUGGGCGCUGGAGAAUUGAGGGGGGCUGCUCCUAGUACGAGAGGACCGGAGUGGACGCAUCACUGGUGUUCGGGUUGUCAUGCCAAUGGCAUUGCCCGGUAGCUAAAUGCGGAAGAGAUAAGUGCUGAAAGCAUCUAAGCACGAAACUUGCCCCG
RNAcentral lists this ribosomal RNA (543 nucleotides) under Klebsiella michiganensis. RNAcentral's name for it is "partial 23S ribosomal RNA". It matches the Rfam family "Bacterial large subunit ribosomal RNA", at positions 2259 to 2801 of the family's 2925-position model. Lineage: Bacteria; Pseudomonadati; Pseudomonadota; Gammaproteobacteria; Enterobacterales; Enterobacteriaceae. The record is from RNAcentral.